CACCUCGCUUCCGCGUUUUGUCCGCCAGUCCGCUCCCCCAUCACUGAUAAUCACGUCUCUCCCACGUCCCCGCUCUCCAUCGUGCGUUCCUCAACACCACGCCCAAACCGCCUCCGCUUGCCCCACCCCUACCGCUACCAAUCGUCGCCUGCCCCUGGUACGCCGCAGUUACGUCACGAGCCAGACGAGAUCCACGUGAGGAAGGGGAGGAGCCUGCAGGAGGUGCUGCGAACUGUCGGCGGUGGUGGCCGGAAUCGACCGGUGGGCCGUCGACCGAAUCGAGUGGUACCUGGCAGUUGUGGGCAGAGCCGAAGGUGAGGCGGCGCUGACUAGCAGUUGCGGGCGGAGCCGGAGGUGAGGCGGCGGCCGAGGACUGGCAGCAGGCGAGCGGAAUUGUGUGGCGGCCAGAUCCUGGCGAAUCACGAGCGGAAUCGCGGUCCGGCGGCGUGCAAGUCAAGACCGCAACAGGGUCCUAGAAGAAUAGCAGCAGCGCAUGGAUCGCGCGGGAAGAAAUCGAGAAGCGGCAGUGCGCAUGCUCUACAGGGGUACGAGGGCAGCACAUUAGCAGCUGACAGCGGAAAUCACAAUUGCGACCGGCACGUUGCCAAGGAAGAGAUGAAUAAAGGAAGAUAAGAGAAAAAGGAUCACCGCAACCUUCGAUGCCCGCUCCAAGUCGGAGUAGGCUCGGUUGCUAGGUCUAUCGGCCAUGGCGUGCACGCUGCUCAGGGGAGCGCCCGCACCAAUCUGCAUGGCUGAACCAGGGGAUUUGUACAUCUCUCGGUGGCCAAAAUCGAUGGCAGUUUUGGAACAUAAGAGUGGAGCUGUGCAAAAUUCUUCCACCGACAAAAAUACCCCACAACCCAAGCCAUGGUGACAGUUCGAAUAUCUGGGACUCCUUAACCUGCAGAGUCACCUUCUCUUGAGGUACCAACACACACGUUUCACAAGGUCAGAACUAAGAUGAGAGAGUUGUGAUCUACCAUUGAAUCUUAUUUGUAUGUUUAUGCGACACCACUUCGGGGUUUGAUGAUGACAGUUUUAUAGUUUUACAGUUCAUAUUUAUGAUUUUCUUUCAUCUGAAGUAUCCAUUAUGUUUGAUUUUUGUCGUGUCUGUGUACAGAGUUCUGAAAAACAAUGGCAUUUUGCACACAAGUUAUGAAUCCCCACAUCUAUCAUAUAUGUCCAUUCUAUAAUAAGCUCAAACAAGAUUUUAUUAUACUUUUUUAGAAGCACAGAGUUUAAGGUAUGUAGAUUUUUAUUCCUGUUCCUAACUUUAUUUUUGUAAAUGGAAUAUGUAAGGUUUAUUCUCAGGAUCAUUGGCAUCGUUUUCUUAUGUACCAUGGUUAGUUCUGACACAUAAACAACAUAUUAUCAAGAAUGGAAUGUGUAAUUGUUCAUAUUGUCUCAGUUUUAGUAAGACACAUAAACAUUAUCUGGUUUCUUUAUCUUGAAGACACAUAAACAACAUCUUAUCUACUUAUUUCCUUUUCCCGAAAAAUAAUUUACAAGAUAAUACUUUAACUAUGAUUCUAUUUCUACUUUUUUCUAUAGUUCCUCGUGCAAGGCGGCAAAUUUUGAUAGGAGAUAUUUGUUUUUUACGUAUAUGUUGUUUACUGUUUAGUGACAUACUUCAGGUGUUUUUAAGGGAAGUAACAUACAUCAAAUUAUUUGUGAACAUUAUGAAAUUUAAAUAAUAAAAAUUCAACUAAA
Long non-coding RNA from Lolium perenne, 1710 nucleotides. RefSeq lists it as uncharacterized. Lineage: Eukaryota; Viridiplantae; Streptophyta; Magnoliopsida; Poales; Poaceae. The record is from RefSeq and is a predicted model, not a curated record.